UACGUAGGGGGCUAGCGUUGUCCGGAAUCAUUGGGCGUAAAGCGCGUGUAGGCGGUCCGGUAAGUCCGCUGUGAAAGUCGGGGGCUCAACCCUCGAAUGCCGGUGGAUACUGUCGGGCUAGAGUGCGGAAGAGGCGAGUGGAAUUCCUGGUGUAGCGGUGAAAUGCGCAGAUAUCAGGAGGAACACCCGUGGCGAAGGCGGGUCUCUGGGACGGUACUGACGCUGAGACGCGAAAGCGUGGGGAGCGAACAGG
This 253-nucleotide ribosomal RNA is filed under the name uncultured bacterium. RNAcentral's name for it is "partial 16S ribosomal RNA". It matches the Rfam family "Bacterial small subunit ribosomal RNA", at positions 524 to 776 of the family's 1533-position model. The record is from RNAcentral.